This 199-nucleotide long non-coding RNA is filed under the name Ananas comosus (pineapple). Its description in RNAcentral is "long non-coding RNA (ACOM_LNC041129)". The record is from RNAcentral. Lineage: Eukaryota; Viridiplantae; Streptophyta; Magnoliopsida; Poales; Bromeliaceae.
GGGAGAUGAUGAUGAUGCAUGAUGAUGCUUUUUAGAUGCUGCUUUUUAUUUAGAUGAUAUUUUGAUGCUUUUUAAAUGAUGUAUUUAGAUGAUGAUGAUGGUGAUGUAUUUAGAUGAUGAUGAUGAUGCUUAUUUAGGUGUUGAUGGUUUUCUAACGUAACUCUUGACUAUAUAACUGUUUAUGUUUGAUCUUUAAAGA